AUGGGCCGGCGUCGCCGUGAUUACUUCUCCCAUGAAACUCAACGGAGGUGCGCAAAGCUGUCCCGGCGGCUGGCAAUCGGCUUCACCGUAGCCGCGGUCCUCGCCGCCGUGGUGCUCAUCGUCCUGCGCUUCGCCGUCGUCCCCGAGGUCAAGGCCGACGUGGAGGACGCCCGUCUCAACCAAUUCGCCUUGGCCACCACGAAGAACGGCAAGUCCAUCUUCUGCUUCAACAUCUCCAUCGCCCUCAAGGUCCGGAACCCGAACAUGGCCAUGAGCGUCAAGUACACGGAGCCCCUGGCGGCCGCCUUCAUCUUCUUCAACAGGCGUCUGUGCAACGCCAGCGUCGCCUACGAGGGGCACAGGCACCCCCCGCGUAGGACCGAGGUCCACCUGCUGCACCCCGGCGGGGAGGUCCCGUCAGAUCUGCUCGGCGCCGCGGCGGUCGAGGAAUUCAAGAAGCAGAACGCCACGGGCGUGUUCGAUGUGGGCGUGCGCCUCUCCGGGGAGAUCACGCUUGGCAUUGGCAACACGCGCAAGCUAAGCCUCCGCUGCCCAAUCAGCCUGCAGCUCGCGCCGACGGCCACCCUCGAGUUCGGUAGGGUUAACUGCGAACCCGAUGAGCCACAAACCAAUUAUUUUUGA
This 642-nucleotide ribosomal RNA is filed under the name Triticum aestivum (bread wheat). RNAcentral's name for it is "partial small subunit ribosomal RNA". The record is from RNAcentral. Lineage: Eukaryota; Viridiplantae; Streptophyta; Magnoliopsida; Poales; Poaceae.